Otolemur garnettii (small-eared galago) is the source of this 129-nucleotide small nucleolar RNA. NCBI's taxonomy places the organism in Eukaryota, Metazoa, Chordata, Mammalia, Primates, Galagidae. The record is from Ensembl.
UUGGCCCUGAAUCAAAGCCAUCAGUUUACUGAAGCUGUUGCUUUCAAGUAAAGAAUUAUCUUUCUAUCAUCUGUUGGCCACUUCAGAACUUUGGAAACGUAAUGGUCAAUUCAUUAGAAAGAAACUGUA